Molecule: transfer RNA, 134 nt
Filed under: Saccharomyces cerevisiae (brewer's yeast)
Lineage: Eukaryota; Fungi; Ascomycota; Saccharomycetes; Saccharomycetales; Saccharomycetaceae
Description: tRNA-Ile
Rfam family: tRNA
About the family: Transfer RNA (tRNA) molecules are approximately 80 nucleotides in length. Their secondary structure includes four short double-helical elements and three loops (D, anti-codon, and T loops).
Source: RNAcentral
GCUCGUGUAGCUCAGUGGUUAGAGCUUCGUGCUUAUAGCAACAUUCGGUUUCCGAAGUUUCUGUGCCAGAGACCUUUCAAACAGGCCUUUAAAAGCAACGCGAACCGUCGUGGGUUCAAACCCCACCUCGAGCA